GCUGCUUGUUUGCCUUUUGGCUAAGAUCAUGUGUAGAAUCUGUUCUAAUCAGUUUAAUAUCUGAUACGUGCUCUAUAUGAGGACUACAUAUUAAACUGAUUUUUAGAACAGGAAGACGGAAGAGGGGCUUGCUCCGUCCGCUCCACGCAUCGACUCUGGGAAUGGUUGGGGGCAGUCGUG
Molecule: small nuclear RNA, 180 nt
Organism: Pygocentrus nattereri (red-bellied piranha)
Lineage: Eukaryota; Metazoa; Chordata; Actinopteri; Characiformes; Serrasalmidae
Gene: U2
Rfam family: U2 spliceosomal RNA
About the family: U2 is a small nuclear RNA (snRNA) component of the spliceosome (involved in pre-mRNA splicing). Complementary binding between U2 snRNA (in an area lying towards the 5' end but 3' to hairpin I) and the branchpoint sequence (BPS) of the intron results the bulging out of an unpaired adenosine, on the BPS, which initiates a nucleophilic attack at the intronic 5' splice site, thus starting the first of two transesterification reactions that mediate splicing.
Source: Ensembl